GAUGAAGAACGUAGCGAAAUGCGAUACGUAGUGUGAAUUGCAGAAUUCCGUGAACCAUCGAAUCUUUGAACGCAUAUUGCGCUCGAGCCCUCGGGCAAGAGCAUGUCUGCCUCAGCGUCGGUUUAAACCCUCACCCCUCCCAACUUGUUGGGUAUGUUUGCUUCGUUUGCAAGCCACAGGGGUGGAUCUGGCUUCCCCAAUCAGCCACCAGGCAGAUUGGGUUGGCUGAAGUACAGAGGCUUAAGCAAGGACCCGAUAUGGGCUUCAACUGGAUAGGUAGCACCGGCUUCUGCCGACUACACGAAGUUGUUGCUUGUGGAUCUUGCUAGAAGCCAAGCAGGAAUGUGCCUUUGGCAUAUCUUAACUUUCGACCUGAGCUCAGGCAAGAUUACCCGCUGAACUUAAGCAUAUCAAAUAAGCGGAGGA
Molecule: unclassified non-coding RNA, 426 nt
Filed under: soil metagenome
Description: partial contains 5.8S ribosomal RNA, internal transcribed spacer 2, and large subunit ribosomal RNA
Rfam family: 5.8S ribosomal RNA (bases 1-120)
Source: RNAcentral